This 459-nucleotide ribosomal RNA is filed under the name uncultured bacterium. RNAcentral describes it as "partial 16S ribosomal RNA". It matches the Rfam family "Bacterial small subunit ribosomal RNA", at positions 338 to 795 of the family's 1533-position model. The record is from RNAcentral.
CCUACGGGGUGCAGCAGUGAGGAAUAUUGGUCAAUGGCCGGAAGGCUGAACCAGCCAAGCCGCGUGAAGGACGAAGGUGCCAAGCAUUGUAAACUUCUUUUGUCAAGGGACAAAAUCAGGCUCGAGAGCCUGACCGAGGGUACUUGAAGAAAAAGCAUCGGCUAACUCCGUGCCAGCAGCCGCGGUAAUACGGAGGAUGCGAGCGUUAUCCGGAUUUAUUGGGGUUAAAGGGUGCGUAGGCGGGCUGUUAAGUCAGCGGUAAAAGCCCGGGGCUCAACCCCGGCGAGCCGUUGAAACUGGCUGGCUUGAGAGGUCGAGAGGUAGGCGGAAUGCGCAGUGUAGCGGUGAAAUGCUUAGAUAUUGCGCAGAACUCCGAUUGCGAAGGCAGCAUACCGGCGGCGAUCUGACGCUGAGGCACGAAAGCGUGGGUAUCGAACAGGAUUAGAUACCCCAGUAGUC